CUAGCCGUAAACGAUGGAUACUAGGUGUAGAGGGUAUCGACCCCUUCUGUGCCGCAGCGAACGCAAUAAGUAUCCCGCCUGGGGAGUACGGUCGCAAGACUGAAACUCAAAGGAAUUGAC
RNAcentral lists this ribosomal RNA (120 nucleotides) under uncultured bacterium. RNAcentral describes it as "partial 16S ribosomal RNA". It matches the Rfam family "Bacterial small subunit ribosomal RNA", at positions 796 to 914 of the family's 1533-position model. The record is from RNAcentral.